RNAcentral lists this transfer RNA (77 nucleotides) under Actinomycetes bacterium. RNAcentral describes it as "tRNA-Pro". It matches the Rfam family "tRNA". Rfam says of the family: Transfer RNA (tRNA) molecules are approximately 80 nucleotides in length. The record is from RNAcentral. Lineage: Bacteria; Bacillati; Actinomycetota; Actinomycetes.
CGGGCUGUGGCUCAGCUUGGUAGAGCGCUCGGUUCGGGACCGAGAGGUCGCUGGUUCAAAUCCAGUCAGCCCGACCA